UUCGGUGAAGAACUGGUGGUAUUUCUCCCCUCAGUUCGGCAAGAAGGGGUUGCUGAUAGGGGCUCCCUCUUUAAUCCAUAACUGGAAGAAAAAAUACCUCUUCGUCCACUGCCCAACUUUGAGGCUGGGCCUACCCCCUUGGGGCUCUCUGAGGGACUCUGUCCGCCGGGCUCCCAGUCUGGGGGAGGACGACCUUCAGGCCACCCGGAAGCUUCUUGACUAUUCCGCUCCUUCCCUCCC
This 240-nucleotide long non-coding RNA is filed under the name Elaeis guineensis (African oil palm). RNAcentral describes it as "long non-coding RNA (EGUI_LNC055813)". Lineage: Eukaryota; Viridiplantae; Streptophyta; Magnoliopsida; Arecales; Arecaceae. The record is from RNAcentral.